Long non-coding RNA from Lagenorhynchus albirostris (white-beaked dolphin), 1148 nucleotides. RefSeq lists it as uncharacterized. The transcript has 6 exons. Lineage: Eukaryota; Metazoa; Chordata; Mammalia; Artiodactyla; Delphinidae. The record is from RefSeq and is a predicted model, not a curated record.
CAGAGUCCGGAAGUCUGGAAAAAGGGUCUCCAGGCAGGACUUCAGGCAUUCCUUUCACCGGCGCCGGGCGUUACACAGGGAGGUGACCAUCCCUGGAAAUGGCCCAGAACUGAGUGCUGAGCUGCUGGCCUCCCAUGAAGACCUUCGUCUCCAGCUCCUGCAUCCGCCUGCCUCGACACGUGUGUGCUGGGACCUCUGCGAUGGCCCUUGGGCUUAUCACAGUAAGAGCCCUGGAGCUCAUCAGCCUUGAACAUCAACUCUCAGGGAUCCACGACCACAGAGUGGCAGCCAGUCAAAGCAACUGCGUCCACUUGGCGUGCAAAUCAGUUGGCGUGCACAGCCCCCCGUGACUGCAGCCUGCAAGCCUGAGGAUCGGACACACUGCAGAGACUCUCUCCCUUGGAACGAAAUGAAGCCGAAAAGUAGGAUACGAUGUCACAACAGCAGUUCCAUAACAGACAGGGGAAGACAGUCAAAGCAACACAGUACGGGCCCCUCUCAAGGCAGAGGACGUGAAGAAAUGUCAGCUGAAUGCAGCGAUCUGCUCUCCCCUCUGGCCCAAGCUCCACAUCUCCUCGCUGACCGCACUUUGAGUAGCAAGGCCAGAAACGACCUGGGGCCUGAACCCUACCAAGCCUGAUGUUCUUUCCAGAAGAAGAAGGAACGCGGUGGGUUUGGGAGAAGGAGAGAUUGGACACGGACUGCGGUGUGUCUCACUUGCACCCAUCAAGGGGCGGGAGGAGGUAGCCACGGGCCACAGAUGAUCCCGCCGCACAGGAUUAUUCACAGGUCUCACCCAUGAGGAUUUCCCAUCCAGACCCAGAGAAAGUUCCAGAAGCUUCUUGAUAUUGCUACCCUCUGUACCCUCAGGAAGACUUAAGAGCCUAGACCUCUUAGCCGCACUCAGGCUCUGCAAGUGGCCAGAGUGUGUGCGGGGCGGAUGUCGGUAUGAUGCCUCUGGACAUCCCCUCUCAGCUAAAAUCAGAGGCCCAGGCCUCUCAUUCACUCAUUGAGUUGUUUUUUCACUUAAGCAUCCUCAGACCUCUGCCAGCAGCCAAAGGUCGUUAUCUAAUAUUCUCCUCUUUUAUCUUUUACACAAACAAUACUUUGCAGGAUUAAAAACCAUCAUUAUAAGAUUAUGACACAAA